UUUUAUUUGAGAGUUUGAUCCUGGCUCAGGAUGAACGCUGGCGGCGUGCCUAACACAUGCAAGUUGAGCGAUUUACUUCGGUAAAGAGCGGCGGACGGGUGAGUAACGCGUGGGUAACCUACCCUGUACACACGGAUAACAUACCGAAAGGUAUGCUAAUACGGGAUAAUAUAUUUGAGAGGCAUCUCUUGAAUAUCAAAGGUGAGCCAGUACAGGAUGGACCCGCGUCUGAUUAGCUAGUUGGUAAGGUAACGGCUUACCAAGGCGACGAUCAGUAGCCGACCUGAGAGGGUGAUCGGCCACAUUGGAACUGAGACACGGUCCAAACUCCUACGGGAGGCAGCAGUGGGGAAUAUUGCACAAUGGGCGAAAGCCUGAUGCAGCAACGCCGCGUGAGUGAUGAAGGCCUUCGGGUCGUAAAACUCUGUCCUCAAGGAAGAUAAUGACGGUACUU
This 454-nucleotide ribosomal RNA is filed under the name Clostridioides difficile. RNAcentral describes it as "bacterial SSU rRNA". It matches the Rfam family "Bacterial small subunit ribosomal RNA", at positions 1 to 480 of the family's 1533-position model. The record is from RNAcentral. Lineage: Bacteria; Bacillati; Bacillota; Clostridia; Peptostreptococcales; Peptostreptococcaceae.